RNAcentral lists this long non-coding RNA (564 nucleotides) under Mus musculus (house mouse). RNAcentral's name for it is "predicted gene, 39103". The record is from RNAcentral. Lineage: Eukaryota; Metazoa; Chordata; Mammalia; Rodentia; Muridae.
UUAACGUGGCAAGACUGCCUUUGAAAGCAGUUAGGAAAGAUUCUAGUUUGUGUUGACUUCUUACUGUGGGUUGAAGCUGAAAGGCACAAGAGGAACAGUGUGAAGCUGAAGGACACUCGUUCAGAGUCUCAUCAUGUAACUCUGGCUGGCGUGGAGCUCAAACACCUUCUAAUCCUUGGAUACACAGCCUUGAGCUUCAGAACGAGCGUGUCUGGUAUACGUGUUCCUUCCACAUACCAGCUACCCUUGGAGAGCACUCAGGUCCGCCAAUUGGGGAAACACUGCUGUAUGUUCCCAAAGUCUGUCUGUCUGCCUUCUUGACCAAGGAGAGAAGUUCUGCUGAGAGCUGGAGAGCUGCCUCAGUGAUUAAGAGUGUGCACUAUUCUUCCAGAGGCUCCAAAUCCAGUUCCCCGCGUCCAUAGUAGGAGGCUUACAAUUGCCUAGAACUCCACCUUCAGGGAUCUGAUUCCAUUUUCUGGCCUUCACAGGCACCUAUACUCAAGUACAGAGACAUACAUGUAUACAUAUAAUUGAAACUAAUGCAAAUAAAUCUCUCAAAGAAAA